This 400-nucleotide ribosomal RNA is filed under the name uncultured bacterium. RNAcentral's name for it is "bacterial SSU rRNA". It matches the Rfam family "Bacterial small subunit ribosomal RNA", at positions 355 to 747 of the family's 1533-position model. The record is from RNAcentral.
UGGGGAAUAUUGGACAAUGGGCGCAAGCCUGAUCCAGCAAUGCCGCGUGUGUGAAGAAGGCCUGCGGGUUGUAAAGCACUUUCAGCGGGAAAGAACCGUCCGGGGCCAAGACCUCCGGGCGUUGACGUUACCUGCAGAAGAAGCACCGGCUAACUCCGUGCCAGCAGCCGCGGUAAUACGGAGGGUGCGAGCGUUAAUCGGAAUCACUGGGCGUAAAGCGCGCGUAGGCGGCCUGUUAAGUCGGAUGUGAAAGCCCCGGGCUCAACCUGGGAACCGCAUACGAUACUGACCGGCUCGAGUGCGGUAGAGGGGGGUGGAAUUCCGGGUGUAGCGGUGAAAUGCGUAGAGAUCCGGAGGAACACCAGUGGCGAAGGCGGCCCCCUGGACCGACACUGACGCU